GCGGCUUUGGUCUAAUGGCAUGACGUCACCUUCCCAAGGUGGCUGCGCGGGUUCGAUUCCCGCAAGCCGCA
Molecule: transfer RNA, 71 nt
Filed under: Candidatus Pacearchaeota archaeon
Lineage: Archaea; Nanobdellati
Description: tRNA-Gly
Rfam family: tRNA
About the family: Transfer RNA (tRNA) molecules are approximately 80 nucleotides in length.
Source: RNAcentral